Lyngbya majuscula is the source of this 183-nucleotide non-coding RNA. Lineage: Bacteria; Bacillati; Cyanobacteriota; Cyanophyceae; Oscillatoriales; Microcoleaceae. The record is from Rfam.
GUUUUACUGGGAAGUUGGUGACUGCCAAUAGUGUUUUUUGAUCUAUGCUCAUAUAUAUAAGGGAACUAAUCGGAUUUGCGGCAGUAGACUGGGAAAAUACCCAGAAACUUCAAGCGAUAUUCGACAGUGCCCACCUGGUUAGCCAGGUCAUAAACUGAGGUAAGACGGCUUCUUGGUGAACCU